AACGCGAAGAACCUUACCUAGACUUGACAUCUCCUGAAUAGCCAAGAGAUUGGUGAAGCCCUUCGGGGCAGGAAGACAGGUGGUGCAUGGUUGUCGUCAGCUCGUGUCGUGAGAUGUUGGGUUAAGUCCCGCAACGAGCGCAACCCUUAUCAUUAGUUGCUACCAUUAAGUUGAGCACUCUAGUGAGACUGCCAGAGUUAAUCUGGAGGAAGGUGGGGAUGACGUCAAAUCAUCAUGCCCCUUAUGUCUAGGGCUACACACGUGCUACAAUGGUGAGUACAAUGAGACGCAAGACCGUGAGGUGGAGCAAAACUUAUAAAACUCAUCCCAGUUCGGAUUGUAGGCUGCAACUCGCCUACAUGAAGCCGGAGUUGCUAGUAAUCGCGAAUCAGAAUGUCGCGGUGAAUACGUUCCCGGGCCUUGUACACACCG
This 432-nucleotide ribosomal RNA is filed under the name uncultured bacterium. RNAcentral's name for it is "bacterial SSU rRNA". It matches the Rfam family "Bacterial small subunit ribosomal RNA", at positions 958 to 1392 of the family's 1533-position model. The record is from RNAcentral.